Molecule: ribosomal RNA, 445 nt
Filed under: uncultured bacterium
Lineage: Bacteria
Description: partial 16S ribosomal RNA
Rfam family: Bacterial small subunit ribosomal RNA
Source: RNAcentral
GUGAGGAAUAUUGGUCAAUGGUCGAGAGCCUGAACCAGCCAAGUCGCGUGAAGGAAGAAGGAUCUAUGGUUCGUAAACUUCUUUUGCAGGGGAAUAAAGUUCGGGACGUGUCCUGUUUUGUAUGUACCCUGAGAAUAAGGAUCGGCUAACUCCGUGCCAGCAGCCGCGGUAAUACGGAGGAUCCGAGCGUUUUCCGGAUUUAUUGGGUUUAAAGGGUGCGUAGGUGGUUUGAUAAGUCAGCGGUGAAAGUUUGCAGCUUAACUGUAAAAAUGCCGUUGAAACUGUCGGACUUGAGUGUAAAUGAGGUAGGCAGAAUGCGUGGUGUAGCGGUGAAAUGCAUGGAUAUCACGCAGAACUCCGAUUGCGAAGGCAGCUUACUAAGCUACAACUGACACUGAAGCACGAAAGCGUGGGGAUCAAACAGGAUUAGAUACCCUGGUAGUCC